UGAGCCAAGUUUAGGGUUUCUUAAAAACCCAAAGAUGUUUGAACUGAAGAGUUUGAUCAUGGCUCAGAUUGAACGCUGGCGGCAGGCCUAACACAUGCAAGUCGAGCGGUAGAGAGAAGCUUGCUUCUCUUGAGAGCGGCGGACGGGUGAGUAAUGCCUAGGAAUCUGCCUGGUAGUGGGGGAUAACGUCCGGAAACGGACGCUA
This 205-nucleotide ribosomal RNA is filed under the name Helicobacter pullorum NCTC 12824. Its description in RNAcentral is "partial 16S ribosomal RNA". The stretch from base 41 to 205 matches the Rfam family "Bacterial small subunit ribosomal RNA", at positions 1 to 165 of the family's 1533-position model. The record is from RNAcentral. Lineage: Bacteria; Pseudomonadati; Campylobacterota; Epsilonproteobacteria; Campylobacterales; Helicobacteraceae.